UGUGUAAAGAGGCAAAGAGAUCCAAUGGGACAAGUGGCCAACUCUUUGUUUCUACACUCAUAACCUUAUUUGCUCUGUUGCUCCUAUUCUUCUUCACCUACUUCAUUCACUGGUAUGUUUCUCUCUUCUUUUUCAUUGCUCUAUGAUUCUUUUCUAGGUCCUUGCUUUCAUGAUCUCAACUCUUAAGAAUCUCUAGAACACUAAAUUUACAAACUUUUAUUUGUUGGUUUAAUGGUUGUGGUUUGGAUUUUGUUCAAAGAGAGAGUCUUUAAUUGUAGAAAUUAAUGCUUAAAUUUAACAUAUUUGAAGGAAAUAUUAGCUUGGAUUUCAAGUAGCAAAGUGCAGUUUCACUUCAAGAUAUUGAUCUCAAGUUAUUAUAAACUCUAAGAGACUUAAUAUCUGUUGAUUUCAGGUACAUUUAUGCUUCUUUUUAUGAUAUUCUAUGAAUAUUCUUCUUCAUAUACUAACAAUUAGGUUGAAGUUUAUAUCAUUUAAAUAAUAUUUUUCAGUUUUUUUUCUUUUAAUUAAUUUAUAUGUUUGAUAUGAUAAAAUAAAGCUGCAAAUAAACUAAAAGUUUAUAGAUAUUUCUAAGGGUCAGAGUCGCACGCAUCUCUCGAUCGAACGAUUGAGAUAUAUGUGUGACUUAUAUAAUCUUUUAAUCGAUUUUAUAGAUGUUAGUUUUAAUUUUCUGAUUAAUCGAGUCUAAGAUCAAAUACUAGAAUUUAUUGACACAUCUAUGAAAAACUAAAAAAUUUGGAUGAUCUUAAAAAAAAAAAGUUAUUCUAGUAUUGGUGGAUUGUGGAUUAUGUGUACGGAAAUGUGAUUGACUAAUGUUUUGAAGUUAUUCUUUGAGUCUUGAAGUUAGAUUUAUUCAUAAAAUUAGCCAAUGAGAAAGGAGAGGGAUAUACAUGUUCUAAUAUGAGAGGCUGGAAUUAAAAUAUUGAGUGAAUCACACCCAACGUUUCCUUAUUUGGUAAGUUAUAGGAGAAUGAAAAUCAAACAAUUAAUAGAUAUUUUAAGAGAUUUAUUAACAUGUAGAAAAAAAAUUUACACUCUCAACUAUUUCAAUUAAAUUCAUAUUUUAUAGAUGAUUAAAAUAAAAGUCAUAUUAUUUAUAAUAUUCAACGUCUUAUAUUUACUUAUUAAUUAAUGAUAUAAAAAUUUUUACACUAUCAAUUAUUUCAAUUAAAUUCAUAGAGGUGAAAAUAAACAACAAUGAAUUAUGUUUUUUUUGGAGACUUUGAGUUUAGACUAGAUUACUUAUUUUAAAAAUAGGAAAAUGUUAAUUUCGUCCUAAUAACACAUAUUAAAUAAUUUAAUAUAGAAAUAAUUAUCUAAAAAAUUCUACAUUCAACUUUUAAAAUCAAAAUAGUGUCAUUUUAAAUAAUUGUGGUGAUCUUAGAGUUUUGUAUUAAAAUAUUUAAUCUUGAUAGAAAUGACAAUUCAGAAAUCAACACAAUUUUUAUUAUUUUAAAUAACAUAUCAAAUUAAAAAGCUAAAACAUAAAAUCUUGAUUUGGUGUAGUUGAUUGCAUACAACCCUUGUGCCAAUGUAUUGGGCUCGUUUAUGGUCCAAGCCAAUGAAACAAAUCUUUGGCUUUUGUUUUAGAAAAAUGUUAGCUUUUAUAUGAAAAAUGACAUAUUGUGCUCUUAAGACAAAAGUUAAACAACUCACUAUAGUAAUAUCUUUUUUUUUUAAGUUGGCAUUCAAUUUUUUUUAAAUCAGAAUAUAUAUUUUUUUAUUCUAUUUUUAGUUAUUUUAACUUGUGCAGGAUACAAAUUUGAAAUGCCAUUUUUAUAUUAAGUCUAUUUUAUUAUUACCAACAAUACAUUAUAAAACAUAACACAUCAAAAGAUUAUGAUAGAUUUGUCUAGUCGGUCUCAAGUCUCUUAAAAAAUGAAAGUUAUGUUAGGCAAUUAAAAUUAAUCUAAAAUUUUGUCGAAUCUCUAUGACAUGGAUCAUAUACAUAAUAUUGUAAAUGCUAAGUCGUUGUCCAAUAGCGACAUAUUUUAUGACUCGAGUACAAUGUUAAAUGAGCGAGGGAUACAUAUCGUUAAUUCAUGAGAGUAUGAUUUGUUUUUGAUAUUGGAAUGUAUGUGCACUUACAUGAAAAUAUAUGGAAAUUGUGAAUUAUGGAUUAUGGUUAAAAGGAAUAUCAAUUUUAUGUGCCUAUAAAAAAUUAAGUGAAUAGAUAAAAAUGUGGGAAAAAAUAGACAGUUCAGGAUUUAAGAUUUGGUACAUCAAAAAUGUUAAAUCGAGAAAUGAGGUGAGAACUAUUAUAGACAAUGAGUGAAAGAAAGGUAUUGUAAAUGUAAAAUGGGUAAGGGAUUUGAUCAUAUCCUUAAAAUUUAUAGUGGAACAAGACAUCUUUAAUAUUAUUAGUGUUUAUGCACCUCAAUUUGUAUUAGCGGAACAACUUAAAAUAAAUUUUAGAAGUAAUUAAAUGUCUUAUUUUAGGAUAUAUCUCAAAGAGGAAAUAUUUUCUAGAAGGAGAUCUUAAUGGAUAUGUAGGGAUCUUAUUGAGCAGUUUUAAAGGAGUGGAAGAAUGGUAUGGUCUGAGGAAGGUAAUUGUAUAUGGUAAAUUAAUCCUAGAUUUUUUGUUGGCGGUUGAUCUUAUUAUAGAUAAGACAUGCUUUAAGAAAAGAGAUGGGCAUCUUAUCACAUUUAAGAGUGGAUUUUAUAUUUUCAGAUAUAUUUAUUUCUUAUUAGAAAAAUAUAUAGAAAUAUUUGUUUGCACUAUAAAGUCAUACUGGGAGAGAGCUUGACUAUUCAACUAGAGUUUUGUUAUGGAUGUAAGAUUUACGAGAAGAGCCAAGAUAGGAAGUCACAGUAGUGGACUUUAAAGGGUGAAAAAAAAUCUAACAUAAGAUCUUUAAGGUAGGUUUUAGACAAUCUCAAGGAAGUAAAAAUGAUACGUGGAACACAAUGGCACUAGAGAUUAUAAAAAUAGAAAACGGAGACAUUGGAAGUGAUAUAUUUAAAACGAUAUGUGAUUGAUUGAUAUCAAAUGAAUUAAGACUUUCACUUAAUUUUCAUUGACUUAAAAAUAUGUAUGAUAGAGUGCAUAAAGAGAUUUUGUGCAAAACCCUGAAAAAAUAAAUGGUUAGAAUUUCCUAUAUCUGAGUUAUCCAGGAUAUGUAUGAGGGGAUCUCGACAGGUGUGAGGAUGCAAGGUAGAUAUACAUCUGAUUGUCUUAUAAUAAUAGGAUUACAACAAGAUUCAACCUUAAACCCUUACAUUUUUAAUUUAAUUUAGGAUAUACUUACAUAACACAUCUAAGAAUUAGCACCAAAAUAUAUGCUUUCUGAAGAUGAUAUAGUUCUACUUGAAGAGUCGAAGAAUGAUUUAAAUGAGACGUUUAAGACUUAUUAAUAUAAAAUCAGCCUCUAAAAUAAAUAUUGUCCUAAUUUAAAAAUUUAUACUAAUACCAUCUCUUUUUUAUCUGAUAAGAGAUCCUUGACUUUAGUUUUAAUCUCAUUUUUCAGUUGCCACAUAUAUUUAGAAUAAUAUAUGUUGAAUGUGAAUAGUUUGGAUAUGCCUGUUUUUAGAAUAACAUUAUUUUAUAUAAUUAUUAAUAUUAACUAGGGUUCUAAAACAUUGAUGUAUUUAAUUCAUUUUUAUUUUUAUUUCACUAUUGUUACAUGUACACCUUUUUUAACAUACACGCAAGGCUUAAUUAACUACUAAAAAAUAUAAUUAAUUUAGUUGAAUAAAAAUAAUUAAUUCAAUUAAUAGUGAUGAAUCAAUUAUCGGACAGAUUUAUAAAAAGUAGAUGUAAUGAAAUAUUUUCCUUUUAAAUUAGAGAUAUCUUAAGGUUUUGAAAGACUUAUAUAUAUUAACUGUGAUUCAAUCAUGAUAAAAAAAAACUCUAUUUAACUAUUAUUUAAUUAUAAUAUAUAUUUUAUGAAAUUUUAUUUAAAUACAAUUUAAUUAUGAUAAAUUUUUAAUCUCGUGCAAUAAUUCAUUUUACAUAUUCUCAAAUACAAUAAAGGUUUUGGAAGAAUUUGUUUUCUAAUGGAAGUAAUCUUUAUUGAUCUUGACAUGUUACCUUUGAUUAUUGGUUCUUCAUAAUAUAUUAUUAUAAUCUAAAAGCUAACAUGCUCUUGACCCAUGGGAAUUCUAAAAUAUACUUUAUUAUUUUCAAGCUUACUAUGCAUUAAAAUAUUUUCAACUAUAUAUAAAAAAAAUAUAAAUAUAUUCACAAGUUUUGUUUUAUUCUUAGAAUAGGAAAAGUAAGAUCCAUUGUAAUAAUUUAUUAUUUCCACCUCAUUAAAAUAUUUGGAAAGCCAUAUCUCAUAGACUAAUUAGUUUUUCAAUAAUUUGAAGAAGGAAUACUCAUCUGGGCUUGUGCAGUGGAGAUAGAACCAUGAUGGGCCUUGGGCCCAAACUCACACUACAAGUUUAAUGAAGUUUUUUUCUCAAAAAAAAAUGUUUCAAUUAAAUGUUGUUCAUCAAUAUGGAGCAACUUCAUACAAAGAAUAUUAUAUGUUGAUGCUCUAUUCAUCUUGGUGUUGCUUCUUCAAGGUAAAUAAUUUUUUAAUACAAAUAUAAUAUUUUUUUUAGAAAUUUAAUAAUGUAAAACACUAUAUUCAUUGUUUCUCAAAAAUAAAUUUUUAUAUAGGUUGUGAUGGAUAAGUGUGGAAGCAUAUAUGAAAUUUUCAUUGAUGGGUUUUAAAUGAGCUUAUGAAUGAAAAAAGUUAUAAUUAUGAAACCAAAAGAGCCUCUUGUACAGGACAAGGAUAUGAACCUAAGAAAUAUGUUUUUUUGGUGAGUUCCUAUGUUCUUGUGCUGUUGCUGAAGAGAGUUCCCCUUGACAACUUCAAUAUUUGCUGAUCAGUACUCAACUUGAUCAUGACGGCUUUAGUUUAUUUUUGUACUUCAUUAUUGUUGUAAUAGCACUUUUAUGAGUUUAUCUUCAUGAACGAUGUUUGGGACAAGAAGAAUGUAAUAAAUUUUAUAUUGAUGUUUAAUUAAUGUAGUGGGAUAUUAUAUACUACUAUAGUAUCUUGGUAGUAAUAAGAUUAUGCUGCAGAUCUUAGAUCUUCAUAAAACUGUUCUUAGUUUGCAAUUGGUUCCCACUUCCUUGUUUUGUC
This 5093-nucleotide long non-coding RNA is filed under the name Lathyrus oleraceus (garden pea). Its description in RNAcentral is "Pisum sativum (pea) long non-coding RNA (PSAT_LNC022581)". The record is from RNAcentral. Lineage: Eukaryota; Viridiplantae; Streptophyta; Magnoliopsida; Fabales; Fabaceae.